GACGUGAUAAGCUGCGAAAAGCUGCGGGGAGUUGCACAAAAGCUGUGAUCCGCAGAUAUCCGAAUGGGGCAACCCAGCUGGUUGAAGACCAGUUACCAUUUAAUGGAGCGAACCCGGGGAACUGAAACAUCUAAGUACCCGGAGGAAAGGACAGCAAUAGCUACUCCCCUAGUAGUGGCGAGCGAACGGGGACCAGCCGAGCCUUGAGUGUGAAUAGAAUGGUCUGGAAAGGCCAACCAUAGUGGGUGACAGUCCCGUAUAUGAAGCAUGAUAGGACGUAUUAAGUAGGGCGGGACACGUGAAAUCCUGUCUGAAGAUCGGAGGACCACCUUCGAAGGCUAAGUACUCCUGACUGACCGAUAGUGAACCAGUACCGUGAGGGAAAGGCGAAAAGAACCCCUGUGAGGGGAGUGAAAUAGAUCCUGAAACCGUGUACGUACAAGCAGUGGGAGCCCCUUCGUGGGGUGACUGCGUACCUUUUGUAUAAUGGGUCAGCGACUUACAU
Molecule: ribosomal RNA, 505 nt
Filed under: Kryptoperidinium foliaceum
Lineage: Eukaryota; Dinophyceae; Peridiniales; Kryptoperidiniaceae
Description: partial Bacterial large subunit ribosomal RNA
Rfam family: Bacterial large subunit ribosomal RNA
Source: RNAcentral